CGCUGAAAGCAUCUAAGUGUGAAACCCACCUCAAGAUGAGAUUUCCCAUGAUUAUAUAUCAGUAAGAGCCCUGAGAGAUGAUCAGGUAGAUAGGUUAGAAGUGGAAGUGUGGCGACACAUGUAGCGGACUAAUACUAAUAGCUCGAGGACUUAUCCA
RNAcentral lists this ribosomal RNA (157 nucleotides) under Streptococcus pneumoniae EU-NP02. RNAcentral's name for it is "partial 23S ribosomal RNA". It matches the Rfam family "Bacterial large subunit ribosomal RNA", at positions 2769 to 2925 of the family's 2925-position model. Lineage: Bacteria; Bacillati; Bacillota; Bacilli; Lactobacillales; Streptococcaceae. The record is from RNAcentral.